AUUUGAACGCUGGCGGCAUGCUUUACACAUGCAAGUCGAACGGUAACAGGGAGCUUGCUCCGCUGACGAGUGGCGAACGGGUGAGUAAUGCAUCGGAACGUACCCAGUCGUGGGGGAUAACGUAGCGAAAGUUACGCUAAUACCGCAUACGUCCUGAGGGAGAAAGCGGGGGACCGUAAGGCCUCGCGCGAUUGGAGCGGCCGAUGUCGGAUUAGCUAGUUGGUAGGGUAAAGGCCUACCAAGGCGACGAUCCGUAGCGGGUCUGAGAGGAUGAUCCGCCACACUGGGACUGAGACACGGCCCAGACUCCUACGGGAGGCAGCAGUGGGGAAUUUUGGACAAUGGGCGAAAGCCUGAUCCAGCCAUGCCGCGUGAGUGAAGAAGGCCUGG
RNAcentral lists this ribosomal RNA (390 nucleotides) under uncultured bacterium. Its description in RNAcentral is "bacterial SSU rRNA". It matches the Rfam family "Bacterial small subunit ribosomal RNA", at positions 29 to 419 of the family's 1533-position model. The record is from RNAcentral.